CCAAACUUGGUCAUUUAGAGGAAGUAAAAGUCGUAACAAGGUUUCCGUAGGUGAACCUGCGGAAGGAUCAUUAAAGGGAUAAAUCGGGGGUUCGUCCCCCGUCCUCCCACCCAUGAAUACUCGAGGACCCUGUCCAAGUUACUUCGGCGGAUAUUUCCGCCGAGCAACCAUUCAAAACUCUAAUUCAACGUGUCGUCUGAAUUUUGAGAAAAUCGAAUCAAAACUUUCAACAACGGAUCUCUUGGUUCUGGCAUCGAUGAAGAACGCAGC
RNAcentral lists this unclassified non-coding RNA (270 nucleotides) under uncultured fungus. RNAcentral's name for it is "partial contains small subunit ribosomal RNA, internal transcribed spacer 1, and 5.8S ribosomal RNA". The stretch from base 1 to 73 matches the Rfam family "Eukaryotic small subunit ribosomal RNA", at positions 1759 to 1831 of the family's 1831-position model. Lineage: Eukaryota; Fungi. The record is from RNAcentral.